UAGUACUCUGACAGAGCUGGCAAAUACACUGUAAUUUCUUGGUCAGAAUUUUAUGUAGACUGAAGUUCAGAUCAGCUGCUAUUUUUACUUUAGCUGUUUUCAUGGCCAUCAUUUGUACAGCUGGUUUUGAUAGACUCCCGUGGAGUAGAAAAUCUCUUCAAGAAAAUAUAGACAGAAGAAAUACAUGGGACAUUUUCAUCUGAUUUGCUGAGUAAUCAAGUAUAAAAGAUUUAAAAGGUUACAUUCCCAGCAGCUUCUCUUACCGUUCUGCAAAAUACAAGUGUUUUCUCAACAGGAGUAACUGAGAGUUAAAUACAAAUCUUCCCUGUUCCAAUGCAUGCACCAAACCUGGAGGAACCCAUGCUUGCAUGAAUUCUACAUGUCUUCCUUUCAGAGGACAGGACUAUGUCUUGCACUGACAAACUCUCUACUAAGAUGAGAAAAGCUAAACUUACCACCACUUCUGGCCUGGGAAACUCAGAGAUAAGCUAGCUAGCUAUGAGAACAAUCAGUGGACCACAAGAAUUUCUUUGUCUCCACUUCUGGAAUUCAAAUGGUGCUUGCUACCUUCCAGAGUCAGGAGGCUUUAAGGUGGAUACAACUGAAGUUGCUGUGCUAUGUAUCAGUGAUCUCACAGUAUUCAGUCAAACCUUACCAAGAUCAGAGAGAAUUAACCAUUACCAAAAUCAAACCAACUUAUCAAACCAAACCAAAUUAAACCAUGCCAAACCAAACCAAACGGUGAUUUCUGGGAUUGAUGGGAUGAUGCGUGAGUUCUGCAGAAAGCUUCAGCAGUGCAACAACACUGAGUUGCGCACUGGACUGACUGAUGUGAAGAAAACUGGAUCAGUCUGUUUGAGUCUGAAAUGUUGACAUCACAAGACCUUCCACCCAAUUAAAACAGGCUGUCAAUUCUGUAAGGGGACUCCAAGUUUCAGCAAACAUUUUGCUCUGUUCAUGCCUGCCUCAGGCACAUCUGGUGACAAUAUUGCAACAGAUGUAUCACACUGUGUUUCACAGAUCUGCAAAAAGUUAUCAUCUAUGAAAAGGAACUAUGAAACAACUGGAAAGAUCACAGAAUCACAGAAACACAGAAUCACAAAGAUUGGAAAAGACCUAAAAGAUCAUCUAGUCCAACCAUUCACCUAUUACCAAUAGCUCCCACUAAACCAUGUCUCUCAACACAACAUCCAAACAUGCCUUGAACACCCCCAGGGUGGGAGGUUAGAUAUUCCUAGCAACAAAGCAAGUUCUUAAAUACUUGGCAGUGACAUCUUCUGUGAUGAUCUUCAUUCCAUAUGCAACAGUAAUGUUUAUGUUUUGUUGCUUUCAUUUCUCAAGGGCUGAAUUGGAUGCUGCAAAAUAUACACAUUGAAACAAUAAA
Molecule: non-coding RNA, 1384 nt
Organism: Coturnix japonica (Japanese quail)
Lineage: Eukaryota; Metazoa; Chordata; Aves; Galliformes; Phasianidae
Source: RefSeq, a predicted model, not a curated record